Long non-coding RNA from Podarcis raffonei (Aeolian wall lizard), 239 nucleotides. RefSeq lists it as uncharacterized. The record is from RefSeq and is a predicted model, not a curated record. Lineage: Eukaryota; Metazoa; Chordata; Lepidosauria; Squamata; Lacertidae. The transcript is spliced from 2 exons.
UUCUCCUACGUCAUAAAGAAGUGAGAAUUGCAGACAUUGCAUUGUACAACUGGGGACUCUAUUUUUGACAAAGGAAAUAACAUUUGAAAGUCCAGUCCAGGGGGCUAGACCGUCAAGACUAUGUGCAGCAGGAUUGCGAGGCUCUGAAUGACUUUGCUGCUCUGCAAGCAGGGAUUUAGCUCAUGGAAAGUUCACGCGAAUUCACCAACGGAAGACAUCAAAUACAGCUAGUUUGCAUA